Molecule: ribosomal RNA, 253 nt
Filed under: uncultured bacterium
Lineage: Bacteria
Description: partial 16S ribosomal RNA
Rfam family: Bacterial small subunit ribosomal RNA
Source: RNAcentral
UACGAAGGGUGCAGGCGUUACUCGGAAUUACUGGGCGUAAAGCGUGCGUAGGCGGUUCGUUAAGUCUGUCGUGAAAGCCCUGGGCUCAACCUGGGAAUUGCGAUGGAUACUGGCGAGCUAGAGUACGGUAGAGGAUGGUGGAAUUCCCGGUGUAGCGGUGAAAUGCGUAGAGAUCGGGAGGAACACCCGUGGCGAAGGCGGCCAUCUGGACCAGUACUGACGCUGAGGCACGAAAGCGUGGGGAGCAAACAGG